Molecule: long non-coding RNA, 2114 nt
Organism: Oncorhynchus tshawytscha (Chinook salmon)
Lineage: Eukaryota; Metazoa; Chordata; Actinopteri; Salmoniformes; Salmonidae
Source: Ensembl
GUAACCUUCACCUGUCUGAAUGGAGGAGAAGCAAACAAAGUGAAUGCUCUCUCGCUCAGAGACAUGUCACUUAUCAAAAGGCUCCGUCUCAGUAGAUCAACGCCUACGAACACAAGGAACUAGCGCGCACGCCCUAACCAGAACACAAUGCCGUGGAGCUGAUUACUCACAUACAGGUCCAAACACUAGCGGCGCUUUGCCGGCACUGUUGGAUAAUGUCUUGUUUUUGAAUUGGUUCCUGAUAAGAUUGUCAGACAGUUUUUUUCCGGAGGUAUAAGGGGAGAACAGCUCUUGAGUGGACAUUUCAGCCACUUUGUCGCCCGGAUCUCGGCAGCAGAACCAUGGUUCUCCUCUGCACAUUUCGUCUGCCUCUGCUGCUCACCUGCCUGGCAGGAACACUUGCCAGUGAGAGAGAGCAGGGCAGGACAUCGGAGGAAACCACACCAUAUGGGCCGUCCUUUGUGGAGAUCAGUGGGGUGAACACAGUGACGGUGGAGGUUCCCUAUGGCUUCCAGUGUUCAGCCAAUUGCUUCCCAACUUGCACCUUCACCUGGACCAGAGGAGAGCUCACCACCCAGGGCCCACAGCUCAACCUCCAGCUGAAGGAGCAGGUUCCACCACAGGUCCUGAUCUGUAUGGCUACAAACCCCACCACUGGGAAGUCAGUGACAGUCAGCAAAACAGUCAACGUGACGUCUGGACCGUCCAAUAUAAAGAUCACAGGUCCUGAUACACUGUCCAGUGGAGUGACGUCCAACUUUUCCUGCUCUGCUGAUUGCUACCCGUCCUGCUCCUACACCUGGACAAUUAGUUCUGAAGCACAAAGCACAGUGACCACCAAAUAUGGUCAAACCAUCUCUGUCACACCUGACUCCUGGGAGAUUGCAGAGGAAUUGAUCUGUGAUGCUCAGGACACUGUCUCACUCCUCUACAUCUCAACCUAUGUCACACCUUACGUGGCCCGCGGACCGGGGGCCAUUUUGAUCACGGGUGCCAGCUCAGUGACAGUAGGAGACACUUACAACUUUGUGUGCUUUGUUGACUGCACCCCCUCCUGUAACUUUACCUGGACAUUCAAUGGAAAGAUCUUCAAUGGUGACGAGAUCCAGUUGCCAAUCUUCCAUAAGGGCGAUAAGCCCAUGGUUGGCAGUAAACUGGUGGUUACUGUUGAUGAUUACAGGCACAAUGAGGCACUGACGUGUGAGGCCAAGAAUGUUGCCUCAGGGGUCACUGCUGUUAGCACCAAGAUCCUGAGCGUCACUGAUCCUAUCUCUGUACAGCCGGUGUCCCAGGACAAGCCCUUGGCACACCAGCCCUUCUCACUGCAGUGUGUGGGCUCUCAGAAUCCAGCCUCCAUUUUGUGGUUAAAAAAUGGCCUCCCUAUAGCUGUGUCCGGCAGGGUCAGUCUCUCCCCCAACAAUAUCACUAUGUCUUUUAGUCCUCUGCUCCAGUCAGAUGGUGGGCUGUACCAAUGCAUUGUUUCUCAGGGGGGAGCACCCAUCAAAGGGGUUGGGUACCAACUGAAUGUAAAUUAUGGACCACUUCAAGCUGUUAUCAUCCAAUCUGGCAAAGGCCCAGUAGGUAAAGUCCUGUAUCUCCUGCCUGGAUCAAAGACAGCCCUUCAGUGUUCGGCCCUGUGCUACCCCACCUGUACCUAUACCUGGAUAUACAAGGGGAGGCUGGCAGAGAUGAACGCCUCCUUCUCCCUCACACCUGAGACAACCAUGGACGGAGGACCCCUCAGCUGUGUGGCUUACAACUCAGUGACCAAUGACAACAGCACUGCCAAUACCUCAGUUGUGUUACUUGAUGGACCAUCUAAUGUGACCAUCUCAGGACCAGGUGCCCUAGAGGUAGGGGUCAAGGCCAGUUUCAAGUGUAUUGCCCAGUGCUCUCCCUCUUGCAGCUAUACCUGGAGUGUGUAUGGUCGGACCAUGCACGGCAGCGUGGUUGAUAUAACCGUCAACCGUUACGUGGCCACUGAGUCUUUCAGCUGCGAGGCACACAACACGAUCACCAGGAAGACAGCAACAGCCAAUGAGACACUCAGUGUCACAGAUUCUCACUGGUGUGGAUGUUGAGAACAGUCAAGACAAGAAUUCCAUUCAAUGGCG